This 227-nucleotide non-coding RNA is filed under the name Rhizobium sp. Lineage: Bacteria; Pseudomonadati; Pseudomonadota; Alphaproteobacteria; Hyphomicrobiales; Rhizobiaceae. The record is from RNAcentral.
AGCGUAACUGAGCGCGACGGUUCCCCGAGGACGACUCUGAGGGGAUUAAUAGGGAACACGGUGAGGACGACCCAAGAGGGACCAAAACCGUGGCUGCCCCCGCAACUGUAAGCGGAUUGCCGCUCAUCCAAGGGCCCUUGGGCCAUGCCACUGCGACGAAGUCGCGGGAAGGCAGAUGAAGGCAUAUAUCCGUGAGCCAGGAGACCUGCCGUCAAUCACGAUCCAAU